This 305-nucleotide ribosomal RNA is filed under the name uncultured bacterium. RNAcentral describes it as "partial 16S ribosomal RNA". It matches the Rfam family "Bacterial small subunit ribosomal RNA", at positions 508 to 807 of the family's 1533-position model. The record is from RNAcentral.
ACAGCAGUCGCCGCGGGAAUACGAAGGGUGCAAGCGUUACUCGGAAUUACUGGGCGUAAAGCGUGCGUAGGUGGUGGUUUAAGUCCGUUGUGAAAGCCCUGGGCUCAACCUGGGAAUUGCAGUGGAUACUGGGUCACUAGAGUGUGGUAGAGGAUAGUGGAAUUUCCGGUGUAGCAGUGAAAUGCGUAGAGAUCGGAAGGAACAUCUGUGGCGAAGGCGACUAUCUGGGCCAACACUGACACUGAGGCACGAAAGCGUGGGGAGCAAACAGGAUUAGAGACCCCGGUAGUCCCUGUCUCUUAUAC